AGCGAACGCUGGCGGCAGGCUUAACACAUGCAAGUCGAACGAAGUCUUCGGACUUAGUGGCGGACGGGUGAGUAACACGUGGGAACGUACCUUUUGGUUCGGGAUAACACAGGGAAACUUGUGCUAAUACCGAAUGUGCCCUUAGGGGGAAAGAUUUAUCGCCAUUAGAGCGGCCCGCGUUAGAUUAGCUAGUUGGUGGGGUAAAGGCCCACCAAGGCUACGAUCUAUAGCUGGUCUGAGAGGAUGAUCAGCCACACUGGGACUGAGACACGGCCCAGACUCCUACGGGAGGCAGCAGUGGGGAAUCUUGCGCAAUGGUCGAAAGACUGACGCAGCCAUGCCGCGUGAAUGAUGAAGGUCUUAGGAUUGUAAAAUUCUUUUACCAGGGACGAUAAUGACGGUACCUGGAGAAAAAGCUCCGGCUAACUUCGUGCCAGCCGCCGCCGUAA
Molecule: ribosomal RNA, 449 nt
Filed under: uncultured bacterium
Lineage: Bacteria
Description: partial 16S ribosomal RNA
Rfam family: Bacterial small subunit ribosomal RNA
Source: RNAcentral